GACGAACGCUGGCGGCGUGCUUAACACAUGCAAGUCGAACGGAAAGGCCCUGCUUUUGUGUGGUGCCCGAGUGGCGAACGGGUGAGUAACACGGGAGUAACCUGGCCUGGACUGUGGGAUAACUUCAGGAAACUGGGGCUAAUACCGGAUAGGAGCUCCUGCUGCAUGGUGGGGUUUGGAAAGUUUAGGCGGUUGGGGAUGGACUGGGGGCUUAUCAGCUUGUUGGUGGGGUAGUGGCUUACCAAGGCUUUGACGGCUAGCCGGCCUGGGAGGGUGACCGGCCACAUUGGGACUGAGAUAGGGCCCAGACUCCAACGGGGGGCAGCGGUGGGGAAUAUUGCACAAUGGGCGGAAGCGUGAUGCAGCAACGCCGCGUGCGGGAUGACGGCCUACGUGUGGUGAACCGCUUUCACCUGUGACGAAGCGUGAGUGACGGUAAUAGGUGAAGAAGCACCGGCUAACUACGUG
This 468-nucleotide ribosomal RNA is filed under the name uncultured bacterium. RNAcentral describes it as "partial 16S ribosomal RNA". It matches the Rfam family "Bacterial small subunit ribosomal RNA", at positions 28 to 507 of the family's 1533-position model. The record is from RNAcentral.